GGUCAUAGCUCAGUGACAGAACACCUGCUUUGUAUGCAGAAGGUCCCAGGUUCAAUCCCCGGCAUCUCCA
This is a non-coding RNA of Podarcis lilfordi (Lilford's wall lizard), 70 nucleotides long. The record is from the annotation of a GenBank genome assembly. Lineage: Eukaryota; Metazoa; Chordata; Lepidosauria; Squamata; Lacertidae.